AACCCUGACGCAGCAACGCCGCGUGGGUGAUGAAGGUCUUCGGAUUGUAAAGCCCUGUUUUCUGGGACGAUAAUGACGGUACUAGAGGAGGAAGCCACGGCUAACUACGUGCCAGCAGCCGCGGUAAUACGUAGGUGGCGAGCGUUGUCCGGAUUUACUGGGCGUAAAGGGUGCGUAGGCGGAUGUUUAAGUGGGAUGUGAAAUCCCCGGGCUUAACCUGGGGGCUGCAUUCCAAACUGGAUAUCUAGAGUGCAGGAGAGGAAAGCGGAAUUCCUAGUGUAGCGGUGAAAUGCGUAGAGAUUAGGAAGAACACCAGUGGCGAAGGCGGCUUUCUGGACUGUAACUGACGCUGAGGCACGAAAGCGUGGGUAGCAAACAGGAUUAGAUACCCUGGUAGUCCACGCCGUAAACGAUGGAUACUAGGUGUAGGGGGUAUCAACUCCCCCUGUGCCGCAGUUAACACAAUAAGUAUCCCGCCUGGGGAGUACGGUCGCAAGAUUAAAACUCAAAGGAAUUGACGGGGGCCCGCACAAGCAGCGGAGCAUGUGGUUUAAUUCGAAGCAACGCGAAGAACCUUACCUGGACUUGACAUCCCUUGCAUAGCCUAGAGAUAGGUGAAGCCCUUCGGGGCAAGGAGACAGGUGGUGCAUGGUUGUCGUCAGCUCGUGU
RNAcentral lists this ribosomal RNA (669 nucleotides) under Clostridium botulinum. RNAcentral describes it as "bacterial SSU rRNA". It matches the Rfam family "Bacterial small subunit ribosomal RNA", at positions 379 to 1065 of the family's 1533-position model. The record is from RNAcentral. Lineage: Bacteria; Bacillati; Bacillota; Clostridia; Eubacteriales; Clostridiaceae.